GCAUCCGUAGCUCAGCUGGAUAGAGUACUCGGCUACGAACCGAGCGGUCGGAGGUUCGAAUCCUCCCGGCUGCACCA
Molecule: transfer RNA, 77 nt
Filed under: Escherichia coli
Lineage: Bacteria; Pseudomonadati; Pseudomonadota; Gammaproteobacteria; Enterobacterales; Enterobacteriaceae
Also listed under: 2 other names
Description: tRNA-Arg
Rfam family: tRNA
About the family: Transfer RNA (tRNA) molecules are approximately 80 nucleotides in length. Their secondary structure includes four short double-helical elements and three loops (D, anti-codon, and T loops).
Source: RNAcentral